CAUGCAAGUCGAGCGGCCGUAGCAAUACGGCAGCGGCAGACGGGAGAGUAACACGUGGGAACGUGCCUAUCAGUUCGGAACAACCCAGGGAAACUUGGGCUAAUACCGGAUACGCCCUUACGGGGAAAGAUUUAUCGCUGAUAGAGCGGCCCGCGUCUGAUUAGCUAGUUGGUGAGGUAAUGGCUCACCAAGGCGACGAUCAGUAGCUGGUCUGAGAGGAUGAUCAGCCACACUGGGACUGAGACACGGCCCAGACUCCUACGGGAGGCAGCAGUGGGGAAUAUUGCGCAAUGGGCGAAAGCCUGACGCAGCAACGCCGCGUGGGGGAUGAAGGCUCUCGGGUUGUAAACCCCUUUCAGCAGGGACGAAAACAGACGGUACCUGCAGAAGAAGCCCCGGCCAACUACGUGCCAGCAGCCGCGGUAACACGUAGGGGGCAAGCGUUGUCCGGAAUUAUUGGGCGUAAAGAGCUCGUAGGCGGUUUGUCGCGUCGGCCGUGAAAACUUGGGGCUUAACCACAAGCUUGCGGUCGAUACGGGCAGACUUGAGUUCGGCAGGGGAGACUGGAAUUCCUGGUGUAGCGGUGAAAUGCGCAGAUAUCAGGAGGAACACCGGUGGCGAANGCGGGUCUCUGGGCCGACACUGACGCUGA
Molecule: ribosomal RNA, 652 nt
Filed under: uncultured bacterium
Lineage: Bacteria
Description: bacterial SSU rRNA
Rfam family: Bacterial small subunit ribosomal RNA
Source: RNAcentral